This 468-nucleotide ribosomal RNA is filed under the name uncultured bacterium. Its description in RNAcentral is "partial 16S ribosomal RNA". It matches the Rfam family "Bacterial small subunit ribosomal RNA", at positions 28 to 507 of the family's 1533-position model. The record is from RNAcentral.
GACGAACGCUGGCGGCGUGCUUAACACAUGCAAGUCGAACGGAAAGGCCCUGCUUUUGUGGGGUGCUCGAGUGGCGAACGGGUGAGUAACACGUGAGUAACCUGCCCUUGACUUUGGGAUAACUUCAGGAAACUGGGGCUAAUACCGGAUUGGAGCUCCUGCUGCAUGGUGGGGGGGGGUAAGUUUCGGAGGUUGGGGAUGGACGCGCGGCUGAUCCACUUGUUGGUGGGGGAGUGGCUUACCAAGGCUUUGACGGGUAGUCAGCCUGAGAGGGUGACUGGCAACCUUGCGUCUGAGAUAAGGCCCAGACUCCUACGGGCGGCAGCAGUGGGGAUUAUUGCACAAUGGCAGGAAGCCUGAUGCAGCAACGCCGCGUGCGUGAUGCCGGCCUUCGGGUUGUCAACCGCUUGCUCCUGUGACGCAGCGUGUGUGACGGUAAUGAGUAAAGAAGCACCGGCUAACUACGUG